AACAUCUAAGAGUCUAAAUCCAACCUUUAAAGCCUAAGUUUCUACAAUUUCCAAGGAUCUAUAUCCGGCGUCGCUCGGGUACCCAACCCAAGCUCUGAUACCACCUGUGGCGCCCACUACCGAAAUACACUGUACUUUUUUUUUUUUUUUUUCAUUACAAUAAAUAAAUACAAUGACUUCCGAUAAAUACAAUGUCUCCUACUUAAUUUCUCAACAAUAAUAUCAAAUACACGUGACAACCAAAUGCCACAACUAAUCUCGUAUUCAUAGUUCUCGAAUUACAAUUAUUCUUAAACACAACACUAGAUUAAACUCUCUAAAAUCUCUGAAUAACUUUUAUUCCUAAGAACCUUCAACAUAAUCGUCCACUAAUGCAUCUGCCACUGAGAAUAAGAAGGAAAAUAAAGGAGGAGUAAGUCCAAGUGGACUUAGUGAGGAGUACAAGGGAAGAGGAGUAAGUCCAAGUGGACUUAGUGAGGAGUACAAGGGAAAAACAGUCGAAUCAAAUAAUAAUCACAAUAUAAGUGUUCAAGGAAUUGGAGUUGGAAUUGGACCAUCUAGAGAAUGAUCGUUCGAUAGGGAAUAAGAGGCCAAAGUAUAAGGCACAUCAAUAUGAUCAGAAUCGACAAUAUAAUCAAUAUGUACAGGUAAAGAACAAUAUUCAACGGGUAAUUCCCGAAUAUUAAUUAUGAAUUUCGUGGAGAUUCCCACGAUAACAAUUUCGGAUAUCAAAUAUGAGACCAUGGAGAUUCCCAUGGUAACAAUUUGUUCAUGUACCUGUACCUGCCUUGUGACUCCCUUAGCCGUAACUACCUUAUAACACCGAUCAGGGAGCUACCCUGCUAAUCGAUCAAUAGGCAUGCCCGGGCGCAUGCCGAUCCAGCCAUCAACACAGUUAACCUCCAACUAUGCCAAUGGUCUAGAUCCAAUAUGGGUACUGUCGAAGAGACCAUCCACCGUCGG
RNAcentral lists this long non-coding RNA (963 nucleotides) under Erythranthe guttata (spotted monkey flower). RNAcentral's name for it is "long non-coding RNA (EGUT_LNC001879)". The record is from RNAcentral. Lineage: Eukaryota; Viridiplantae; Streptophyta; Magnoliopsida; Lamiales; Phrymaceae.